UACAGAGGUGGCAAGCGUUGUUCGGAAUUACUGGGCGUAAAGGGCGCGUAGGCGGCCUUCUAAGUCAGACGUGAAAUCCCCCGGCUUAACCUGGGAACUGCGUCUGAUACUGGAGGGCUUGAGUGCGGGAGAGGGAUGUGGAAUUCCAGGUGUAGCGGUGAAAUGCGUAGAUAUCAGGAGGAACACCAAUGGCGAAGGCAGCCUUCUGGGCCUGUUCUGACGCUGAGGAGCGAAAGCGUGGGGAGCAAACAGG
This 253-nucleotide ribosomal RNA is filed under the name uncultured bacterium. RNAcentral describes it as "partial 16S ribosomal RNA". It matches the Rfam family "Bacterial small subunit ribosomal RNA", at positions 524 to 776 of the family's 1533-position model. The record is from RNAcentral.